CCUCCAGAUGUUGCUGAACUACAACUCUCAUAAUUCUAUGAAAGAAAUAGAUCGGCUUAGAAUCGUGGGAGUUGUAAUUCAGCAACAUCUGAAGG
Non-coding RNA from Pelobates cultripes (western spadefoot toad), 95 nucleotides. The record is from the annotation of a GenBank genome assembly. Lineage: Eukaryota; Metazoa; Chordata; Amphibia; Anura; Pelobatidae.